UUGCUCACUUUGGCAGCACAUAUAUUAAAAAUGAAAUGAUACAGAGAAUGGUAGAAUGUCCCUGCACAAGGAUGGCACAUAAAUUCAUGAAGUGUUUCAUAUAUUU
This is a small nuclear RNA of Molossus molossus (Pallas's mastiff bat), 106 nucleotides long. NCBI's taxonomy places the organism in Eukaryota, Metazoa, Chordata, Mammalia, Chiroptera, Molossidae. The record is from RefSeq and is a predicted model, not a curated record.